GGGGAAUAUUGCACAAUGGGCGAAAGCCUGAUGCAGCAACGCCGCGUGAGCGAAGAAGGCCUUUGGGUCGUAAAGCUCUGUCCUUGGGGAAGAUAAUGACGGUACCCAUGGAGGAAGCCCCGGCUAACUACGUGCCAGCAGCCGCGGUAAUACGUAGGGGGCGAGCGUUAUCCGGAAUUAUUGGGCGUAAAGAGUGCGUAGGUGGUUCUUUAAGCGUGAGGUGAAAGGCAAUAGCUCAACUAUUGUAAGCCUUGCGAACUGGGGGACUUGAGUGCAGGAGAGGAAAGCGGAAUUCCUAGUGUAGCGGUGAAAUGCGUAGAUAUUAGGAGGAACACCAGUGGCGAAGGCGGCUUUCUGGACUGUAACUGACACUGAGGCACGAAAGCGUGGGGAGCAAAC
This 399-nucleotide ribosomal RNA is filed under the name uncultured bacterium. Its description in RNAcentral is "bacterial SSU rRNA". It matches the Rfam family "Bacterial small subunit ribosomal RNA", at positions 356 to 773 of the family's 1533-position model. The record is from RNAcentral.